Molecule: ribosomal RNA, 492 nt
Filed under: uncultured bacterium
Lineage: Bacteria
Description: partial 16S ribosomal RNA
Rfam family: Bacterial small subunit ribosomal RNA
Source: RNAcentral
AGUGAACGCUGGCGGUAGGCCUAACACAUGCAAGUCGAACGGCAGCACAGUAAGAGCUUGCUCUUACGGGUGGCGAGUGGCGGACGGGUGAGGAAUACAUCGGAAUCUACUUUUUCGUGGGGGAUAACGUAGGGAAACUUACGCUAAUACCGCAUACGACCUACGGGUGAAAGCAGGGGAUCUUCGGACCUUGCGCGAUUGAAUGAGCCGAUGUCGGAUUAGCUAGUUGGCGGGGUAAAGGCCCACCAAGGCGACGAUCCGUAGCUGGUCUGAGAGGAUGAUCAGCCACACUGGAACUGAGACACGGUCCAGACUCCUACGGGAGGCAGCAGUGGGGAAUAUUGGUCAAUGGGCGCAAGCCUGAUCCAGCCAUACCGCGUGGGUGAAGAAGGCCUUCGGGUUGUAAAGCCCUUUUGUUGGGAAAGAAAAGCAGCAGGUUAAUACCCCGCUGCUCUGACGGUACCCAAAGAAUAAGCACCGGCUAACUUCGUG